UCCACUGCUUAGUUGGUAAAAUACAAAGCUCUUAACCUUGUGGGCGUGGGUUCAAGCCCCAUGGUGGAG
This 69-nucleotide transfer RNA is filed under the name Triticum aestivum (bread wheat). It matches the Rfam family "tRNA". Rfam says of the family: Transfer RNA (tRNA) molecules are approximately 80 nucleotides in length. RNAcentral also lists the same sequence under 1 other name. The record is from Rfam by way of RNAcentral. Lineage: Eukaryota; Viridiplantae; Streptophyta; Magnoliopsida; Poales; Poaceae.